CCUACGGUAGGCAGCAGUGAGGAAUAUUGGUCAAUGGGCGGAAGCCUGAACCAGCCAAGUAGCGUGCGGGAUGAAGGCCCUACGGGUCGUAAACCGCUUUUGCACGGGGAUAACACCCUCCACUUGUGGAGGUCUGCAGUUACCGUGAGAAUAAGGGCCGGCUAAUUCCGUGCCAGCAGCCGCGGUAAUACGGAAGGCCCGAGCGUUAUCCGGAUUCAUUGGGCUUAAAGGGAGCGUAGGCGGGCGUUCAAGUCAGCUGUAAAAUCGCGCGGCUCAACCGCGCCCCGCAGUUGAAACUGGACGCCUUGAGUUCACAACAGGCAGGCGGAAUUCGUGGUGUAGCGGUGAAAUGCAUAGAUAUCACGAGGAACCCCGAUUGCGAAGGCAGCCUGCCGGGGUGCGACUGACGCUGAGGCUCGAAGGUGCGGGUAUCAAACAGGAUUAGAUACCCCGGUAGUC
Molecule: ribosomal RNA, 459 nt
Filed under: uncultured bacterium
Lineage: Bacteria
Description: partial 16S ribosomal RNA
Rfam family: Bacterial small subunit ribosomal RNA
Source: RNAcentral